This 465-nucleotide ribosomal RNA is filed under the name uncultured Klebsiella sp. RNAcentral describes it as "bacterial SSU rRNA". It matches the Rfam family "Bacterial small subunit ribosomal RNA", at positions 338 to 795 of the family's 1533-position model. The record is from RNAcentral. Lineage: Bacteria; Pseudomonadati; Pseudomonadota; Gammaproteobacteria; Enterobacterales; Enterobacteriaceae.
CCUACGGGAGGCAGCAGUGGGGAAUAUUGCACAAUGGGCGCAAGCCUGAUGCAGCCAUGCCGCGUGUGUGAAGAAGGCCUUCGGGUUGUAAAGCACUUUCAGCGGGGAGGAAGGCGUUAAGGUUAAUAACCUUGGCGAUUGACGUUACCCGCAGAAGAAGCACCGGCUAACUCCGUGCCAGCAGCCGCGGUAAUACGGAGGGUGCAAGCGUUAAUCGGAAUUACUGGGCGUAAAGCGCACGCAGGCGGUCUGUCAAGUCGGAUGUGAAAUCCCCGGGCUCAACCUGGGAACUGCAUUCGAAACUGGCAGGCUAGAGUCUUGUAGAUGGGGGUAGAAUUCCAGGUGUAGCGGUGAAAUGCGUAGAGAUCUGGAGGAAUACCGGUGGCGAAGGCGGCCCCCUGGACAAAGACUGACGCUCAGGUGCGAAAGCGUGGGGAGCAAACAGGAUUAGAUACCCCUGUAGUC